RNAcentral lists this ribosomal RNA (510 nucleotides) under uncultured bacterium. RNAcentral's name for it is "bacterial SSU rRNA". It matches the Rfam family "Bacterial small subunit ribosomal RNA", at positions 791 to 1297 of the family's 1533-position model. The record is from RNAcentral.
UAGUCCGCACCGUAAACGAUGCUCACUCGUUGUUGGCGAUAGACAGUCAGCGACCAAGCGAAAGCGUUAAGUGAGCCACCUGGGGAGUACGAUCGCAAGAUUGAAACUCAAAGGAAUUGACGGGGGUCCGCACAAGCGGUGGAGGAUGUGGUUUAAUUCGACGCAACGCGAAGAACCUUACCAGGGCUUGACAUCUAGAGAAUCUUUCCGAAAGGAGAGAGUGCCUCCGGGAGCUCUAAGACAGGUGGUGCAUGGCUGUCGUCAGCUCGUGUCGUGAGAUGUUGGGUUAAGUCCCGCAACGAGCGCAACCCUCGGGUUUAGUUGCCAAGGUCCAGUAAUGGAUACAGAACUCUAAGGAGACCGCCGCUGAUAAAGCGGAGGAAGGUGGGGAUGACGUCAAGUCAUCAUGGCCUUUAUGCCCAGGGCUGCACACGUCCUACAAUGCGGCGUACAAAGGGAAGCGAACUCGCGAGAGCAAGCAAACCCCAAAAAGCGACCGCUCAGUUCGGA